UUGAACGCUGGCGGCAGGCCUAACACAUGCAAGUCGAACGGUAACAGGAAACAGCUUGCUGUUUCGCUGACGAGUGGCGGACGGGUGAGUAAUGUCUGGGAAACUGCCUGAUGGAGGGGGAUAACUACUGGAAACGGUAGCUAAUACCGCAUAACGUCGCAAGACCAAAGAGGGGGACCUUCGGGCCUCUUGCCAUCAGAUGUGCCCAGAUGGGAUUAGCUAGUAGGUGGGGUAACGGCUCACCUAGGCGACGAUCCCUAGCUGGUCUGAGAGGAUGACCAGCCACACUGGAACUGAGACACGGUCCAGACUCCUACGGGAGGCAGCAGUGGGGAAUAUUGCACAAUGGGCGCAAGCCUGAUGCAGCCAUGCCGCGUGUAUGAAGAAGGCCUUCGGGUUGUAAAGUACUUUCAGCGGGGAGGAAGGGAGUAAAGUUAAUACCUUUGCUCAUUGACGCUACCCGCAGAAGAAGCACCGGCUAACUCCGUG
RNAcentral lists this ribosomal RNA (489 nucleotides) under uncultured bacterium. RNAcentral's name for it is "partial 16S ribosomal RNA". It matches the Rfam family "Bacterial small subunit ribosomal RNA", at positions 30 to 507 of the family's 1533-position model. The record is from RNAcentral.